UUUUUUCCUCUUCCUCCUUCAGCAAAUUCUACCGGCGUGCACCACCACAACCGGCUAUUCUAUUUUCUCCUGUUAUUUUUUUCUCUCACAAGCCUACAUAUAUUUUUAAAUGUAGUGUAAACUUAUAGAGGUUUUUCUUUAUCUGGAUCUGUCUUUAUCAUCUUGGAAGUGCUGAGUCUAAACCCCAGAAGCACCGGGACAGUAUGAGCAUAUGGAAGCUGCUCCGAUGCCUCUCAGUGGUCAGGCCCUGUUGAGCUCAUUUCUAGGGUUUGGGACUGCCUUGAAGUUUGAGAAACUGAGCUUCCUGUGGACCUGACAGACUGGACUUUCCCGAUCUCAUCUGCCCUCAGAAGUUAAGCAUGGUUGAGCCUGAUGCGUUUGUGGCUAGAAGUCAUGUGACAUGUUGUAGCCAAUAGAUGAAGCCAACAGAUGAAUCACUCACUGUGUGACUCAUCCAGGAAAAGUUAUAAAAAGUAAUGGAUGCACUCAAGCCUUCUUGCUGGUUUGGUUCUUCUUUCUUCCUUUUGAAUGCUGAUGCCAUGCCUGGAGGAGCAGCAGCCAUCUUGAGACCUAAGAAGAAAGAAGAAAUUAGAUGGAGUCUGAGUUCUUGAAGGUGUUCCUAGGCUGCUACAUCAGACUUGAGCUGCCUACUCUGGACUUGCAGUACUGAUAGUAAACUCCUAUAUGUUAAAACUACUGCCAUCACAGUUCCUUACUGAAGGCAUCCUGGAUGCUAUACUAUACAAGUACCCCACAAUAUAUGUUCCCACUGACUUUUUAUGUAUUUCCCAACUACUUUAUUUUGUUUUACUCUGGAAAUUAUUAGUCAAAGGGAAGGUGGGAUUAUGGGAGGUAUUUUUGUUUGUUUUCUUUUGUUUUUUUGGCUCUGGAUGUGUCUGUCAUUCAUGGCAUAGAGGUGUGUUGUUGUAACCACAGGUGAGUUAGGAUGACUUACAGCCCACUUAAGGAGCUAAGUCUGUUACUGCCCAUUAAGAGUGACCAUGUACAGAAUGGGUCCACAUGAAGAGAUGUCUGUGAUCUGAGCUUUACAGAAAAUCUGAGGAGGGAAAAUGACAGACAAAAGAAGGGUCUGAAACUGCUCUUGCCUAUGUAGCUUCUGCCAGGGGCUCCUUGUUCUCUGGGGCUACAAAGCCUAGCCCAAGCUCUGCCAACCACCACACAACCGGCAUUUAGGAUGGAUACCUCUUUGCAGUAGGAGAUACCCUGCACAUAGUAGGAUGUUUAGCAGCAAUCCAGGAGCCUACCCACUGGAUGACAGUAAAUCUUCUGCUUCUGGGUUAUAACAAUUAAAAUGUCUCCAAACGUUGCCAUAUUCUUCCUGGGGGAAAGGAACAAAAACUGGCUCCAGUUGAGAAGCAACUGGCAUAAGAAACAGCCCAAUUACAAAAAAAAAAAAAAAAAAAGAGUGAAAAUGCUGGUUCUGUU
Molecule: long non-coding RNA, 1446 nt
Filed under: Cricetulus griseus (Chinese hamster)
Lineage: Eukaryota; Metazoa; Chordata; Mammalia; Rodentia; Cricetidae
Description: lncRNA (ENSCGRG00015032932.1)
Source: RNAcentral